AAGCAGCACUCUGUGGCAUAUGAACAAAACUGUUGACAGAAUUUGAGCUUGCUAUAGCAAAAAAGUCUUAACCUAUAGUGUUCUCUUCCUCAUGAGAUAAGCCGGUAAAUAAACUCCAAACAAU
Molecule: small nucleolar RNA, 124 nt
Organism: Rattus norvegicus (Norway rat)
Lineage: Eukaryota; Metazoa; Chordata; Mammalia; Rodentia; Muridae
Product: small nucleolar RNA SNORA28
Source: Ensembl